Molecule: ribosomal RNA, 546 nt
Filed under: uncultured Gammaproteobacteria bacterium
Lineage: Bacteria; Pseudomonadati; Pseudomonadota; Gammaproteobacteria
Description: bacterial SSU rRNA
Rfam family: Bacterial small subunit ribosomal RNA
Source: RNAcentral
ACGCGUUGGGAGCUCUCCCAUAUGGUCGACCUGCAGGCGGCCGCGAAUUCACUAGUGAUUAGAGUUUGAUCAUGGCUCAGAUUGAACGCUGGCGGCAGGCCUAACACAUGCAAGUCGAGCGGUAGAGAGAAGCUUGCUUCUCUUGAGAGCGGCGGACGGGUGAGUAAUGCCUAGGAAUCUGCCUGGUAGUGGGGGAUAACGUUCGGAAACGGACGCUAAUACCGCAUACGUCCUACGGGAGAAAGCAGGGGACCUUCGGGCCUUGCGCUAUCAGAUGAGCCUAGGUCGGAUUAGCUAGUUGGUGGGGUAAUGGCUCACCAAGGCGACGAUCCGUAACUGGUCUGAGAGGAUGAUCAGUCACACUGGAACUGAGACACGGUCCAGACUCCUACGGGAGGCAGCAGUGGGGAAUAUUGGACAAUGGGCGAAAGCCUGAUCCAGCCAUGCCGCGUGUGUGAAGAAGGUCUUCGGAUUGUAAAGCACUUUAAGUUGGGAGGAAGGAAUCGAAUUCCCGCGGCCGCCAUGGCGGCCGGGAGCAUGCGACGU